Molecule: ribosomal RNA, 468 nt
Filed under: uncultured bacterium
Lineage: Bacteria
Description: partial 16S ribosomal RNA
Rfam family: Bacterial small subunit ribosomal RNA
Source: RNAcentral
GAUGAACGCUGGCGGCGUGCUUAACACAUGCAAGUCGAACGGUGAAGGCGGAGCUUGCUCUGCUGGAUCAGUGGCGAACGGGUGAGUAACACGUGAGCAAUCUGCCCCUGACUCUGGGAUAAGCGCUGGAAACGGCGUCUAAUACUGGAUACGAGCUGCGCAGGCAUCUUCAGCAGCUGGAAAGAACUUCGGUCAGGGAUGAGCUCGCGGCCUAUCAGCUUGUUGGUGAGGUAACGGCUCACCAAGGCGUCGACGGGUAGCCGGCCUGAGAGGGUGACCGGCCACACUGGGACUGAGACACGGCCCAGACUCCUACGGGAGGCAGCAGUGGGGAAUAUUGCACAAUGGGCGAAAGCCUGAUGCAGCAACGCCGCGUGAGGGAAGACGGCCUUCGGGUUGUAAACCUCUUUUAGCAGGGAAGAAGCGAAAGUGACGGUACCUGCAGAAAAAGCGCCGGCUAACUACGUG